CUUUCUGCGGCUGGUGAGCUUAAAGAAUAAAAAAAAAUGAAAAAAAGGGGGUGGGGAUAUGGGCUCUACAUGUCCCACAAUCCCUCCCCUCAUCUCCACCGACCUAUCAUUCAUUCCAUUUAUUUUUCUUUCUUUUCCCUCUUUGCUCGGUGGGAAUGGAAGGGGAACAGAGCAAGGAAGAAACACACACACACACAGAGAGAGAGAGAGAGAGAGAGAGAGAAGUGUGGAGACGGCAAGGAAGAGCUCGAUUCUGCUCGGUGGUUCGACUGUAGACCAAUUUCAGGUAUGCGAAUAAUAGGGAUCGCGAAGACUGAAUCCUAGCACUAAAAAGGGUCGAUCGAAUGAGCUGUAAUUCUUGGAGUUGUCGAUAAGUUUCUAAUUGCACGGAAGAACUACUUUUUGAUAUCGGGGAUCAGCUUGGAGAACUAGGCAGGAACCUUAAUUAUUUGAUAGAUAUCCUUUUUGUAUAGAAUGGACUUGAGAAUGUCACUACCUGAAACUUUUGUUUAGUCGGUUUAGCAAUGUAGCUUUGCUAGAAUCGUACUUAUAUAAAUAUAUAUGUGAAAGCAUUUGUAGUAGUUGUAUGUUUUUGAGAGUUAUGGAAAGCAGAUUUUAUAUGAAUAGUUACGUGAUAAUGGAUGUCGAGGAAAUACAGGAAAAAUUCAGCUGAAAU
This is a non-coding RNA of Punica granatum (pomegranate), 676 nucleotides long. NCBI's taxonomy places the organism in Eukaryota, Viridiplantae, Streptophyta, Magnoliopsida, Myrtales, Lythraceae. The record is from RefSeq and is a predicted model, not a curated record.